Molecule: long non-coding RNA, 1248 nt
Organism: Vespa mandarinia (Asian giant hornet)
Lineage: Eukaryota; Metazoa; Arthropoda; Insecta; Hymenoptera; Vespidae
Source: RefSeq, a predicted model, not a curated record
AACUUUAAUACGCCAACGAGUCAAGUGUAUCCAUCGUUGAAAUAACUCCGCUGUAUUUCGAAAUUAUUACGCAUUAGUUAUUACGUCGAUUCUCAUAUAAUCUGAUAUUGGCAAAACAAUCAAGAGAAAAUAUUCAACCGAGCCGACAGACAACGACAAGUUUAGUACAUAUAUAAAUAUCUUGUAAAGUCGAAAGCUAUAUAAUUUAUUACUAGAUCUGCGAUUGAAACGAAUAAUUGACGAAGGUUUAAGGAACACUAUAAAUCCGUCGUAAACGUUGUAAAUUCUUCACGUUUCCUUGGAGCAAGAUGGAUUGUAGCUUGUAGAUAUAUAAAUAUGUAUAUCUAUAUAUAUAUAUAUAUAUAUAUAUAUAUAUAUAUGUGUAUGUGUGUGGCAAUGUAAAAGUAAAGUAUCCAAGGCACGAGAUAACAAAAUGUAGCAUCUCGAGAAAAGUUAAGUUAGUAUCUGGCUAUGAGAAAAGAUCCGAAAGUAAAGCAGUCCAAUCGAAUUCGUACGACUUGAAAAGUUCACGAAAGGAUAUCGAGCCGCGUCGAUGUCGAAUCAGGUGUUCCACGAUAUUUUUCUCGGAGUUUGAACUUUUUAACGCGAAAUGGAGCACGAAGAAACGAUCGGCAAUGUUUUCCAUUUUGUUUCACCCUUUUAUAAGUUUUCUAACGUAAGAGUUAAACCAUUUGGUAUGCUUUCACGAAUUUUUUUCCUAUAUAAAUAUGUUUCUUUAUCGUCAUUCGUAAUGUUUUCUUCGAUAACGUUUACAAAAUAGUUAAUACGAAAUAUAAUGAAAAGUAUUAAUGUAGAAAAUGCACUGUGAAAACAAAUUUUAUGAAUAACGUACAAGUAUUUUAUAUGUGUUUACGAAAGAAGUUAAGCGAAUUAAAGAGAAAGAGAGAGAGGGAGAAGCAAGACGAGAAAUAGGUAGGUAGGUAGGUAAUACAUGUGUGUGUUUUCUCGAGGAACAAACCCUUCUGGGAUACGGAUAUAUAUAUAUAUAUAUACGAUGGGUAUUUAGUCUCGGAGCGUGGACACCGUUAACAUUGGAACAUUGUAUCGAGCUUUCAUUGCAAAUAUUGGUUUUGAGGUUACUCGCGGUAGGAUAGUUUACGUUCGCUUGUAAAAUGCUGAUGCACGGUGGUUACGUUCGGUGUUAACGUCGCUCAACGACUUUAAUCCGAUCGAAAGUCGAAUGAAAAUCCGAAGGACAUUUGCGUGACAUUCGUGGUAAGAUCCUCG